Molecule: long non-coding RNA, 3081 nt
Filed under: Sus scrofa (pig)
Lineage: Eukaryota; Metazoa; Chordata; Mammalia; Artiodactyla; Suidae
Description: lncRNA (ENSSSCG00005005176.1)
Source: RNAcentral
CGGGAACUCCCUGUCCAGUACUUUUUUUUUGCAUGUAUUGAGAUGUUCAUCUGAUUUUUAUCUUUCAUUCUGCUAAUGGGAUGUACUACACUUAUUGAUAGGCAUAUAUAUCAGACGUCAUACUCAGUGGUGAAAGAUGGAAAGCCUUUAUUCUAAGAUCAGCAACAAGACAAGGGUAUCCACUCCCACCAUUCCUAUUCAAUGUAGUACUGCACGUCCUUACCAGAGCAGUCAGGCAAGAGAAGAAAUAACAGGCAUGUGAAUUGAAAACGAAGAAGUCAAGUUGCCUGUUUGCUGAUGGCAUGGUUUUCUAAGUAGAAAACCCUGAAGACUACUGAAAAACUGUUUGAACUAAUAAGUGAAUUCAGUAGAGUUGCAGGAUACAAACUAAUCUAAUCUAAUAUACAGCAUGGUGACUGUAGUUAACAAUGCUCUAUGUAUGAGAGUGGGUCUUAAAAAUUCUCACCACACAGACUGUACCUGUGAGGUGAUGGAUGUGUUAACUAACCUUCUUGUGAUCAUUUCAUAAUAUGUAUAUGUAUAUAGAUCAUGCUGUACACCUUAAAUUUAUCCAGUGUUAUACAUCAAUUAUAUGUCAGUAAAGGUCUGCCAAGAAAAAGGAGAUAAAGGAAUUUAUAUUUGAAGUCCUAGGGGCUCUUAAGUGGUAGAGCUGGAAUCCAAACCCUGAACUUUAUAAUUCCAGAGUCCAAGCUCUUUACUCCCAAUUUGAACGUACAUAUCCUAGAGCUUUCACCUUGUUGCCCUGUAUGUUGAUUCUGCUUCUCUGAUUAGAACAUAAUAGUUGAUAGUUUUCACAGUUGGUGUGCCUCGCUUUCAAUUCUGAGUUCCACUCUGGAGCUGUUCUUAGAUUAGUGGUCUUCAACCUGGAGUAUAUGGACACCUGGUGUUUUCCUGGGAGCUUUACAGGGAUUUUGCAUGCAGAAGUAGUUUAAAUGCUACUUAGUUGCUCAAUGCACAUAUUUACUUUCCUGAAAGUGGUUGCCUGGGAGCCCUUGUGGUUGGCAGAUUCUCCUUUCCUACCUUCCCCUUCACAAAUCGCUUUUCUUUCACUUCACUGAGUCACUCUUAACUUCGCUGCCUGAAUCUUUCAGUAGUUGAUUGCCUCAGGGAAUAAAAACCUGCUUCUCCCAAUAAAGGGACCAUUUAACAAUUCUUAGCUCCUGAGCAAGAAUUUAUAAAUAGCAAAGCAAAGAGAGCUUUGGUCAGACUCAUACAGGGGAGAGCUUUAUUUUAUUUUGGUAGCAAAUGUAGGACAGAUUUCCAUGCCUUAUUUAUUUCUUUGGGAUUGGACUUGAUUGUUGUGGUGUAGGGGGGUUUGCUGAGAUGGCAGAUUUAGCACAUUUAAGUGCACUUAAAAAUGAAGUCAGGCUUUUGUGACCGAUAGUAAGUUGAUUUGGUUUAUUGAUUUGACAGUGAGGACAUGCUUAGCAGUUAGAUUGUUUGGUAGACAUAUUAAGUAAAUGAGUGAAAUCUACAGUUCUCAGGGUUACAGCAAAACAUCCUGGGUGUGUGCAUAUAUAUGCCCUAGUGAAAUAUUAGUCACUCAUAAAGCAGAAGGAAGUCUUUGCCUGUUGAGACAGCAUGGAUGAACCUGGAGGACAUUAUGCUAAGUGAAAUAAGCCAGGUGACACAGAAAGAAAAAUAUCGUAUAUCAUUUAUAUGUGAAAUCUCAAAAAGUCAGACUCACAGAACCAGGAGCAGAAUGAUGGUUUCCAGGGACUAAGGGGUGGGGGAAAUGAGUUAGAUGUUGGUUAAACUUGCAGUUGUGAGAUGAAUAAGCUUUAGAGAUGAAAUGCAUAGUGUGAUGACUGUUGUUAGUAGUACUGUAUUAUACUUGAAAUUUGCUAAGAGACUAGAUCUUAAAUGUUCUUACCACAAAAAAAGUUAACUAGGUAAGUGAUGUAUGUGUUUUUGAUUGUGGUAAUCAUCUCAUACAGUAUAUAUGUGUAUUAAAUCAUCAUGUUGUACACCCUGAAUAUAUAAUUUUAGUUUGUUAUUUUACCUCAUUAAAGCUGGAAAAAUAGAAUACAUAUAUAUAAUCUUUGAAAUCAUAUUCUCUGCCUUCAUUAAAUUUAUGAUAAAAACUUAAGAUGUCCGAGUUCCCUUGUGGCACAGUGGGUUAAGGAUCCAGUGUUGUCACUGCAGUGGCUUGGGUUACUGAUGUGGCUUGGGUUCAGUGCCUGGCCCAGAAACUUCUACAUGCCUCAGGUGCAGCCAAAUCAAAAAUUUUUAAGAUGUCAAACUGAAGAUUUCAGAGGAUUAUGUUGUUUUUGGAGGUGCAAAAGCAAAAGAAUUGCGGAGUUCCCAUUGUGGCUCAGCAGUAACAAAUCCAACUAGUAUUCAUGCAGAUUCAAUCCCUGGCCUCGCUCAGUGGGUUUAGGAUCUAGUGUUGCUGUGAGCUGCGGUGUAGGUUGCAGGCGUGGCUCGGACCUGGCAUUGCUGUGGCUGUGGUGAAGGCUGGCAGCUGCAGCUCCUGUUUGACCCCUGUCCUGCCGACCUUCCAUAUGCCAUAGGUGUGCCCCCCCCAAAAUAAAUAAAUAAAUAAAUAAACUUAACCUCCACCUGGUCCCCAGUUCUACUUUAUCACAAUAUUGCCUUUCCUUUCCUCAUUUUCCAUGUGACUCCUUUUACUCUUUUUACUUUACUUUUUACUGCUUUUUACUUCACUAAACCUUUAAUGAGAAGUCUUUUAAUAAAAAAAAUUUUCCUUAAAGGCACAUUAUUUUUGUCCCCUGUGCUUUAGCUCUAAUGGGUUAUUACAUUACCUUGUGCUUGCCUGUUGGAGGGGUACUUCAUGGUAUGACUCAAGUAACACCUGUAUUGUGCUCCCCAAACACUUGUAUGUUGUAGCAUCUAUCAUAUAGUAUAGUACGUGGUGGUGUAUAAACUGAUUCCUCAGCUAAUUAUUGGAGAGCCUUGAGAGCAUGUAUUAUCUGUAGUUCUUCAGUGCCACCUGUGGAGCCUAUCAUAGAAUAGGCAUUUUAUGCUUGUUGACUGAAUGAAUGGGUACUUGAGCAUCGAAGACAUUAAACAGAGAGAAAUGCAAAAAAAAAAAAAAAA